Molecule: ribosomal RNA, 460 nt
Filed under: uncultured bacterium
Lineage: Bacteria
Description: partial 16S ribosomal RNA
Rfam family: Bacterial small subunit ribosomal RNA
Source: RNAcentral
CCUACGGGAGGCAGCAGUGAGGAAUAUUGGUCAAUGGACGAGAGUCUGAACCAGCCAAGUAGCGUGAAGGAUGACUGCCCUAUGGGUUGUAAACUUCUUUUAUAUGGGAAUAAAAUGUUCCACGUGUGGGAUUUUGUAUGUACCAUAUGAAUAAGGCUCGGCUAACUCCGUGCCAGCAGCCGCGGUAAUACGGAGGAUCCGAGCGUUAUCCGGAUUUAUUGGGUUUAAAGGGAGCGUAGGUGGAUUGUUAAGUCAGUUGUGAAAGUUUGCGGCUCAACCGUAAAAUUGCAGUUGAAACUGGCAGUCUUGAGUACAGUAGAGGUGGGCGGAAUUCGUGGUGUAGCGGUGAAAUGCUUAGAUAUCACGAAGAACUCCGAUUGCGAAGGCAGUUCACUGGACUGCAACUGACACUGAGGCUCGAAAGUGUGGGUAUCAAACAGGAUUAGAUACCCGAGUAGUC